RNAcentral lists this transfer RNA (72 nucleotides) under Trentepohlia odorata. RNAcentral describes it as "tRNA-Ala". It matches the Rfam family "tRNA". From Rfam's summary of the family: Transfer RNA (tRNA) molecules are approximately 80 nucleotides in length. Their secondary structure includes four short double-helical elements and three loops (D, anti-codon, and T loops). The record is from RNAcentral. Lineage: Eukaryota; Viridiplantae; Chlorophyta; Ulvophyceae; Trentepohliales; Trentepohliaceae.
GGGGGUAUAAUUAAAUUGGUAGAAUGUCGGUUUUGCACGCCGAAAGCGCGGAUUCAAAUUCCGCUACCUCCA